ACAACGUUCGGACCGUCGGUCUACCGAGCAAUAUCAUCCGCUCGGUGGAAGAUCUUCCCUUUGUCGU
Non-coding RNA from Bombyx mori (domestic silkworm), 67 nucleotides. The record is from Rfam. Lineage: Eukaryota; Metazoa; Arthropoda; Insecta; Lepidoptera; Bombycidae.